UUUGACAAAAGCCAAAGUUUUUUUUUAUAGUGUCGAACUUCGAAAAAAUUAUAAUUAUACUCAUAAAACGCGAUUAUUUCAUAGUUCCAAUUAAUUAAAAAAAAAAUUGCCUGCUUCUUCAAAAACUUCAUUCAAAAACAAAAAUAUUCAAGAAAAAAAACGUAUCAAUAGGUCAUUUUUGGAAAGAGUUAUGGCAAUUUGAAAAUUAAAUUGUCAUUAUUUUUUAAAAUUCCUAACUUUUUGAGUUUCAGCUAAAUCAAAAAAGGUCGGGUUCAAAAGUGGUCGAUUUGGCAUGGAAUACCCCAUAUAUGUAUAUACUAGCGACCUGCCCCGGCUUCGCACGGAAGUAAAAAACCGCAUCAAAAUCCGUUGCGUAGUUUCAAUGAUUUAAGCGUGCAAAGAGACAGACAGAGAAAGCGACUUUCCUUCUCCAAACAAAAACAUCAACCGGUCAACUUCAACCCACACGUACACACUUACACACGUCUAUGCUUGGAGGGAGAAGCUACGAAGCAUCGCACAAAGAGCAGACGGGAAUAAUCGAAAACUUUGUAUUUACUACAUCACAUUAGAAACCUCAAAAAUAACAGUACUUCUCCACUA
Dalotia coriaria is the source of this 603-nucleotide long non-coding RNA. RefSeq lists it as uncharacterized. The record is from RefSeq and is a predicted model, not a curated record. NCBI's taxonomy places the organism in Eukaryota, Metazoa, Arthropoda, Insecta, Coleoptera, Staphylinidae. The transcript has 2 exons.